This 644-nucleotide long non-coding RNA is filed under the name Homo sapiens (human). RNAcentral's name for it is "non-protein coding lnc-PMM2-8:1". Lineage: Eukaryota; Metazoa; Chordata; Mammalia; Primates; Hominidae. The record is from RNAcentral.
AAUACGAAUACAAAAAUUAGCUGGGCAUGGUGGCAGGCACCUGUAAUCCCAUCUACUUGAAGGCUGAGGCAUGAGAAUUGCUUGAACCUGGGAGGCGGAGGUUCCAGUGAGCUGAGAUCGCACCACUGCACUCCAGCCUGGGCUACAGAGCAAGACUCUGUCUCAAAAAAGAAAACCCAAAGCCAGGGAGAUUUUAAUGCCAACCACCUAGAUCCAAACUCAGCCACUCCACGGACCCUCCCUGACGCUGCUGGGAGCCAGACACCACAGGGAAGCAGGGGCAAAAACUGACCCUCACGCAGUGUCCGCCUCCAGGGAACUGUGGAACACGUCGCAGAGAGCUCAAGCGCCACGUUUGGAUCCCUGAGCAGCUGUCACAAGCCUGCACCCAGGACUGGGGGGCCUGCUGCGAGAGCCCAAAGGGAAAGGGAGAAUUUCCAAGGCUGCAUCCAGCUCCAUCAGGCCCAGUGAAUUUCCACACAGCCCGGGUCACCACGCUGUUAUGAAAUCAAAUUCCUUCUGUGACCCCUAGUAUGUACCGGUAAAUCCAGCUGGAGGGCGGGAAUUCCCUAGCUGCUGCUGUGCUUUUGACAAUUUUUCAAGAGCAGGACACUCGCUGUACACAAUAAUCACUGAACAUUGAA